UUUGGCUAAAACAAACACCUCAACGUUGUUCUCUCCUCUCUACUCCUCCCCUCUCUUCUGCUCUUUUAUUUUCAUUCUUCUCCUCCGACCAAGGCAACCUCCAUGGCCACCGCCACAUGCAGGCUCUGAUGAGGAGCCUAGAAACCAUAGAACCCUUCCCUCUUCACCUCUUCACACCCGGACCUUAAAACUAAACUCACAGCCUAAAAAAACAAACCUAGGCGAAACAAAACCUUCCAAACCCUUAAGGAUUAUAUCCUUAACGAAAACGACUCUCGAAAACUAGAUGAGGCCAAACAACGAGAUGCUAUAAGACUUCAGGUCUUACCCUCGACGGCUCAACGACGUCUGGACGAAGGGAGAUGGUGACGAAGCUUUUUGGAUGGGAAAGGGGAGGCCUUUUCGUUUUUCGCUCCUCUUUUGGGGUGGAUUACUCAUGGUGGUGGCAGAAAAGGCUUGUGGGGACCGAUUUGGUGUGCACGAAUUCUAUCUACGAGUGUGUGGAGUAUUUGAGAAGUCUCGCGUGGAUCUCACGCGUGAGAUCUGACGGUUUGAUGUCCUCAGGUGAAGCUAGGUCAUUGGAUCGCUGACUGGAUUCAACGGUUAACAUAGUGCGGUGACGGCAGAAGAUGAUCUUAGGGUUAACAAACCUUAACUCAAGCAUAAUCUGACUGUUGAUCUCAUAAGAGAUCCAACAGUGCAUGCUGGGAAUGACUGAAAACCCUAUCUGCGUUGGACUGCUACUUCUUGGGCCUCAACUGGGUUCAUUUGCUGGGUUGUUUGUAAUUAUUUUAGGCCUGUAAAAAU
This is a long non-coding RNA of Hibiscus syriacus, 807 nucleotides long. RefSeq lists it as uncharacterized. The transcript has 2 exons. NCBI's taxonomy places the organism in Eukaryota, Viridiplantae, Streptophyta, Magnoliopsida, Malvales, Malvaceae. The record is from RefSeq and is a predicted model, not a curated record.